RNAcentral lists this ribosomal RNA (231 nucleotides) under uncultured bacterium. RNAcentral's name for it is "partial 16S ribosomal RNA". It matches the Rfam family "Bacterial small subunit ribosomal RNA", at positions 15 to 229 of the family's 1533-position model. The record is from RNAcentral.
GAUCAUGGCUCAGGAUGAACGCUGGCGGCGUGCCUAACACAUGCAAGUCGAGCGAGAAAUCCCUGAAUGAAACUUCGGUCGAAUGAAGGGAUGGAAAGCGGCGGACGGGUGAGUAACGCGUAGGCAACCUGCCCCUUGCAGAGGGAUAGCCAUUGGAAACGAUGAUUAAAACCUCAUAACACCGCACUGUCACAUGGUAGAGCGGUCAAAGAUUUAUCGGCAAGGGAUGGG